GUCAGUUUCUUUCCGGAUCAAGAUCAGACUCUGCCCUCCGUGUUCACAGCGGACCUUGAUUUAAUGUCAUACAAUUAAGGCACGCGGUGAAUGCCAAGAGCGGAGCCUAUGGGCGGCUGCACUUGAAGGACACC
This 134-nucleotide microRNA precursor is filed under the name Cervus elaphus hippelaphus. The stretch from base 32 to 102 matches the Rfam family "mir-124 microRNA precursor family". From Rfam's summary of the family: The mature ~21nt miRNAs are processed from hairpin precursor sequences represented here, in this case originating from the 3' arm. The bounds of the precursors are predicted based on conservation and base pairing and are not generally known. Lineage: Eukaryota; Metazoa; Chordata; Mammalia; Artiodactyla; Cervidae. The record is from RNAcentral.